This 120-nucleotide ribosomal RNA is filed under the name Listeria monocytogenes. Its description in RNAcentral is "partial 23S ribosomal RNA". It matches the Rfam family "Bacterial large subunit ribosomal RNA", at positions 2808 to 2925 of the family's 2925-position model. RNAcentral also lists the same sequence under 1 other name. The record is from RNAcentral. Lineage: Bacteria; Bacillati; Bacillota; Bacilli; Caryophanales; Listeriaceae.
GAUUUCCCAUUUCUUCGGAAAGUAAGAUCCCUGAAAGAUGAUCAGGUAGAUAGGUUUGGAGUGGAAGUGUAGCGAUACAUGGAGCGGACAAAUACUAAUCGAUCGAGGACUUAACCAAAA